UUAACACUGAGGCGUGAUGACGAGUCACUACGGUGAUGAAGUGACCGAUGCCAAGCUUCCAGGAAAAGCCUCUAAGCUCCAGGUAACACGAAAUCGUACCCCAAACCGACACAGGUGGUCAGGUAGAGAAUACCAAGGCGCUUGAGAGAACUCGGGUGAAGGAACUAGGCAAAAUGGUGCCGUAACUUCGGGAGAAGGCACGCUGGCGUUGGUGAAGGGACUUGCUCCCGGAGCUGAUACCAGUCGCAGAUACCAGCUGGCUGCAACUGUUUAAUAAAAACACAGCACUGUGCAAACACGAAAGUGGACGUAUACGGUGUGACGCCUGCCCGGUGCCGGAAGGUUAAUUGAUGGGGUCAGCCGCAAGGCGAAGCUCUUGAUCGAAGCCCCGGUAAACGGCGGCCGUAACUAUAACGGUCCUAAGGUAGCGAAAUUCCUUGUCGGGUAAGUUCCGACCUGCACGAAUGGCGUAAUGAUGGCCAGGCUGUCUCCACCCGAGACUCAGUGAAAUUGAACUCGCUGUGAAGAUGCAGUGUACCCGCGGCAAGACGGAAAGACCCCGUGAACCUUUACUAUAGCUUGACACUGAACCUUGAGCCUUGAUGUGUAGGAUAGGUGGGAGGCUUUGAAGUGUGGACGCCAGUCUGCAUGGAGCCAACCUUGAAAUACCACCCUUUAAUGUUUGAUGUUCUAACGUGGGCCCCUGACCGGGGUUGCGGACAGUGUCUGGUGGGUAGUUUGACUGGGGCGGUCUCCUCCCAAAGAGUAACGGAGGAGCACGAAGGUUAGCUAAUCCUGGUCGGACAUCAGGAGGUUAGUGCAAAGGCAUAAGCUAGCUUGACUGCGAGAGUGACGGCUCGAGCAGGUGCGAAAGCAGGUCUUAGUGAUCCGGUGGUUCUGAAUGGAAGGGCCAUCGCUCAACGGAUAAAAGGUACUCCGGGGAUAACAGGCUGAUACCGCCCAAGAGUUCAUAUCGACGGCGGUGUUUGGCACCUCGAUGUCGGCUCAUCACAUCCUGGGGCUGAAGUAGGUCCCAAGGGUACGGCUGUUCGCCGUUUAAAGUGGUACGCGAGCUGGGUUUAGAACGUCGUGAGACAGUUCGGUCCCUAUCUGCCGUGGGCGUUGGAAGAUUGAGGGGGGUUGCUCCUAGUACGAGAGGACCGGAGUGAACGCACCACUGGUGUUCGGGUUGUCAUGCCAAUGGCAUUGCCCGGUAGCUAAGUGCGGAAGAGAUAACCGCUGAAAGCAUCUAAGCGGGAAACUUGCCCC
RNAcentral lists this non-coding RNA (1269 nucleotides) under Lonsdalea quercina. Its description in RNAcentral is "Bacterial large subunit ribosomal RNA". It matches the Rfam family "Bacterial large subunit ribosomal RNA", at positions 1550 to 2800 of the family's 2925-position model. Lineage: Bacteria; Pseudomonadati; Pseudomonadota; Gammaproteobacteria; Enterobacterales; Pectobacteriaceae. The record is from Rfam by way of RNAcentral.